This 458-nucleotide ribosomal RNA is filed under the name uncultured bacterium. Its description in RNAcentral is "partial 16S ribosomal RNA". It matches the Rfam family "Bacterial small subunit ribosomal RNA", at positions 338 to 795 of the family's 1533-position model. The record is from RNAcentral.
CCUACGGGAGGCAGCAGUGAGGAAUAUUGGUCAAUGGGCGAGAGCCUGAACCAGCCAAGUCGCGUGAGGGAGUACUGCCCUAUGGGUUGUAAACCUCUUUUGUCGGGGAGCAAAAGCCGGACGUGUCCGGCUGUGAGAGUACCCGAAGAAAAAGCAUCGGCUAACUCCGUGCCAGCAGCCGCGGUGAUACGGAGGAUGCGAGCGUUAUCCGGAAUUAUUGGGUUGAAGGGGUGCGCAGGCGGAUUUUUAAGUCAGCGGUAAAAUCGUGGGGCUCAACCCCAUCCAGCCGUUGAAACUGGGGAUCUAGAGGGUGCGAGAGGUAUGCGGAAUGCGUGGUGUAGCGGUGAAAUGCAUAGAUAUCACGCAGAACCCCGAUUGCGAAGGCAGCAUACCGGUGCACAACUGACGCUCAGGCACGAAAGCGUGGGUAUCGAACAGGAUUAGAUACCCGGGUAGUC